UACGGAGGGUGCGAGCGUUGUCCGGAUUUAUUGGGUUUAAAGGGUGCGUAGGUGGAUUUUUAAGUCUGGUUUGAAAGCAGGUGGCUCAACCAUCUGAUGUGGCUGGAAACUGGGGAUCUUGAAUGGGUUGGCGGUAGCCGGAACGGGUCAUGUAGCGGUGAAAUGCAUAGAUAUGACCCAGAACACCGAUUGCGAAGGCAGGCUACUAGGACUCGAUUGACACUGAGGCACGAGAGCAUGGGGAGCGAACAGG
This 253-nucleotide ribosomal RNA is filed under the name uncultured bacterium. RNAcentral describes it as "partial 16S ribosomal RNA". It matches the Rfam family "Bacterial small subunit ribosomal RNA", at positions 524 to 776 of the family's 1533-position model. The record is from RNAcentral.